UAAUCACUUGUCUUUUAAAUGAAGACCUGUAUGAAUGGCAUAACGAGGGUUUAACUGUCUCCUUCCCCCAGUCAAUGAAAUUGAUCUGCCCGUGCAGAAGCGGACAUAAAAACAUAAGACGAGAAGACCCUAUGGAGCUUUAGGCCAAGGACCAAUCAUGUUAAGAGACUACAAAACCAAAAAGAACAAAAAAGUCAACAAACCAAAUGCAACCUCGUCCAAGUGCCUUCGGUUGGGGCGACCACGGGGAAAAAAGAAACCCCCACAUGGAAUGGAAAUUAUUUCCUUAAACCAAGAAAGACAAUUCUAAGCAACAGAACAUCUGACCAAUAUAUGACCCAGGAAAACACAUCCUGAUCAAUGAACCAAGUUACCCUAGGGAUAACAGCGCAAUCCUUUCCCAGAGCCCA
RNAcentral lists this ribosomal RNA (410 nucleotides) under Gnathophis nystromi nystromi. Its description in RNAcentral is "partial 16S ribosomal RNA". It matches the Rfam family "Bacterial large subunit ribosomal RNA", at positions 1962 to 2502 of the family's 2925-position model. The record is from RNAcentral. Lineage: Eukaryota; Metazoa; Chordata; Actinopteri; Anguilliformes; Congridae.